UUAUGGCCAUAUCACAUUGAAACACCAGAUCUCACAAGAUCCCUGAAGUUAAGCAAUGUUGAGCCUGGUCAGUACCUAUAAGGGUAAUCGCUGGGGAAUAUCAGGUGCUGUAA
Non-coding RNA from Acanthosepion pharaonis, 113 nucleotides. Lineage: Eukaryota; Metazoa; Mollusca; Cephalopoda; Sepiida; Sepiidae. The record is from the annotation of a GenBank genome assembly.